UCGGUGGGCUAAGUAUCCAAGGAUAUGUUUGGUGUUUUUUCCCCACUGGUGCUGGUUGCAGGGAUGGUUUGGCAGUGUUCAGCAGUGUGAAUUGUGUGUAAUGGGAGUGCUUUGUUGCAGGUAUAUAUCGAAGGGGCAAUGGCAUUGGAGGUAAGGCAUUGAGAUAGGCCGCCUUAGAGCCACACCAUUAUCCCAAAGAUGGGCCAAGGAUAAAUUGAGGGAGCAACCAAGAGAUCUGCUUGCCUGGGAAAGGUCACAUAGGAGCUCAGGUAAGUGUGGCGUUGAGGAGCGGAGGCGUAUAGUGUGCUGGAUACUGUCAGUAUCCAAGUGUGUGUGAUGGUUUUCUUUCACUGGUGAUGGUUGCAGGGACUGUUUGGCCAUGUGCUUAUCAUAGUGAAUAGUGUGUAAUGGGUGUGCUUUGUCAUAGGUGUCUCUAAGAGGCGAUAGCAUUGGAGGUAAGGGUCUGAGAUGCUCCUCCUUGUUGGAGCAACCAGCCUUAAACCAAAGGCAAACGGAGGGAGCAACCAAGAGGGGGCAGCAUGACUGGAAAGGUUGGAUAGCAACUCUGGUAAGGUUGCCCUUUGCCAGGGAGGGAGCAUUGUCUGCUGUCCUGGGUUGGGUAAGUAUCCUGGGGGGAGGGGUGGUGCUGGUUGAAGGGACUGUUUGGCUGAGUGUUUAUCACUGAACUGUGUAGCAAGUGUGCUCUCUUGCAGGUGUACAUUCAAGGGGUGAUAAGUUUAGAGACCAGGCUCUGAGCUGGGCCGCCUUCUUAGAUCCUCCAGGAUUAUACCAAAUGCAGACAGAGGGGAAAUGGAGGGAACAGCAAACAAAGCACGUUGCUUGGGAAUGGUCUGAUGGGAGCUCAGCUGUAUAUUGAAGGGGCUACAGCAAUGGAGGCAAGACUUGGAACUGGUUCUCCUUGGAGCUUCCAGCCUUACACUAAACACCAGCCGAGGGGAAAUGGAAGGAGCAUCCAAGAGGGCAGCUUGCCUAGGAAAGGUCAGAUAGGAACUCAGGUAAGUGUGGCAUUGAGGUAUGUAGGGAUAGUGUAUUGUGCUGGGUACAGUAAGUAUCCAAGGGUCUGAGAUGGUUUCCUUUCACUGGUGUUGGUUGCAGAGGCAGAUGGGCUGAGAGUUGAUGAAUUGUAAGUAACGAGUCUUUUGUUGCAGCUGUAUAUAGAAUGGACAAUAGCAUUGGAGGCAAGGCUUUGAGAAGAGCACUGGGCCUCUCACAGCCUCCAGCCUUAUAGCAAAUGCACUCAGAGGGGAAAUGGAGGGAGCAAUCAACAAAGCCCCUUGCCUAGGAGAGGUAGGUUAGGAGCUCAGGUAAGUUUGGUCUUUGGGGGUGGGGGAAAGGUUGUUGGCUGUGCUGGCUGGGCUAAGCAUCCAAGUCUCUGAUAUGCUUUUCUUUCACGGGUGAUGUUGCAGGCAUGUUGAAAGUGUUGCUGUGUUCUCUGGCCAGGUUGAGAAGCUCUGCCGCCUCCUCCCUGCAUGGAACUCACGGCGCCUGUCCCCACAGCAGGGAUAGUAAGUAUCAUGACAGAGCCCACAGGGGAGCUCCCCUGGGAAAGGUGAGAUAGAGUUUAGGUAAGGGUAGCUGUGGUGGCUGGGCUAAGUAUCCAAAGCUCUGUGGUGGUUUUCUUUCACUGGUGAUGGCUGCAGGGAUGUUUAUCACUGUGAAUUGUGUACAAUGGGAAUGCUUUGUUGCAGGUAUAUACUGAAGGGGCAAUGGCAUUGGAAGCAAAGCCUGUGUGCUGGGUAUGUUAAGUAUCCAAGCGUCUCGGAGAUGGUUUUCUUCUACUGGUGAUGGUCGCAGGGAUGGUUGGGCUGUGUGUUUCACUGAAUUGUGUGUAACGGGUGUGCUUUGUUGCAGCUGUAUAUUGAAGGGGCAGAGGCAUUGGAGGCAAGCAUUUGAGAUGGGCCUUGUUCUUAGGACUACAACCUUAUGUGGAAGACAGGCUGAGGAGAAACUGAGGGGAGCCAACUGAAAGGGCAGUUUCCCUGAAAAGGUAGGAUAGUAGCUCAGGUAAGUGUGGUGUGGAUGGGCAGAGGGGUUGUAUACUGUGCUGGACACUGUCAUUGUUUAAAGGUCUCGGCUACAGUUUUCUUUCACAGGUGAUGGUUGAAGAGAGUUUGGUCAUGUUACACACUGUUCACUGUUGAAUGGGUGUGCUUCUUGCAGCUGUACGUUCAAGAGACAAUAGCAUUACAGGUGUAUAUAGAAGUGACGAUAGCGUUAGAUGCAAGGUUUUCAGCUUGGCCGAUGCCUGUGUACUAAAGACAGAGGGGAAACGGACAGAGCAGCACACAGGGAUCCUAACCUGGGAAACAUUUAAGAGUUCUUCAGC
This is a non-coding RNA of Pelodiscus sinensis (Chinese soft-shelled turtle), 2347 nucleotides long. Lineage: Eukaryota; Metazoa; Chordata; Testudines; Trionychidae. The record is from RefSeq and is a predicted model, not a curated record.